AUGGAUGGAAUCAAAUACGCAGUAUUUACAGAAAAAAGUCUUCGUUUAUUGGGAAAGAAUCAAUAUACUUUUAAUGUCGAAUCGGGAUUCACUAAGACAGAAAUAAAGCAUUGGGUCGAACUCUUCUUUGGUGUUAAGGUGGUAGCUGUGAAUAGCCAUCGACUACCUGGAAAAGGUAGAAGAAUAGGACCUAUUCUGGGCCAUACAAUGCAUUACAGACGUAUGAUAAUUGGUUAUUUACGAUGUACGAUGAUCCCUGUUAAGCAUCCAUGGCUGAAUGGUUAA
RNAcentral lists this ribosomal RNA (285 nucleotides) under Triticum aestivum (bread wheat). RNAcentral describes it as "partial small subunit ribosomal RNA". Lineage: Eukaryota; Viridiplantae; Streptophyta; Magnoliopsida; Poales; Poaceae. The record is from RNAcentral.